This 253-nucleotide ribosomal RNA is filed under the name uncultured bacterium. RNAcentral's name for it is "partial 16S ribosomal RNA". It matches the Rfam family "Bacterial small subunit ribosomal RNA", at positions 524 to 776 of the family's 1533-position model. The record is from RNAcentral.
UACGGAGGGGGCUAGCGUUGUUCGGAAUUACUGGGCGUAAAGCGCACGUAGGCGGCUUUGUAAGUUAGAGGUGAAAGCCCGGGGCUCAACUCCGGAAUUGCCUUUAAGACUGCAUCGCUAGAAUUGUGGAGAGGUAAGUGGAAUUCCGAGUGUAGAGGUGAAAUUCGUAGAUAUUGGGAAGAACACCGGUGGCGAAGGCGGCGCUCUGGACCGAGACUGACGCUGAGGCGCGAAAGCGUGGGGAGCAAACAGG